GUACCCGUAGCUCAAUUGGAUAGAGCGUCUGGCUACGGACCAGAAGGUUAGGGGUUCAAGCCCUCUCGGGUACGCCA
Molecule: transfer RNA, 77 nt
Filed under: Candidatus Hydrogenedentes bacterium ADurb.Bin170
Lineage: Bacteria; Pseudomonadati; Candidatus Hydrogenedentota
Also listed under: 1 other name
Description: tRNA-Arg
Rfam family: tRNA
About the family: Transfer RNA (tRNA) molecules are approximately 80 nucleotides in length. Their secondary structure includes four short double-helical elements and three loops (D, anti-codon, and T loops).
Source: RNAcentral